UACGAAGGGGGCUAGCGUUGCUCGGAAUCACUGGGCGUAAAGGGUGCGUAGGCGGGUCUUUAAGUCAGGGGUGAAAUCCUGGAGCUCAACUCCAGAACUGCCUUUGAUACUGAGGAUCUUGAGUUCGGGAGAGGUGAGUGGAACUGCGAGUGUAGAGGUGAAAUUCGUAGAUAUUCGCAAGAACACCAGUGGCGAAGGCGGCUCACUGGCCCGAUACUGACGCUGAUGCACGAAAGCGUGGGGAGCAAACAGGAUUAGAUACCCCAGUAGUCC
RNAcentral lists this ribosomal RNA (273 nucleotides) under uncultured Bradyrhizobium sp. Its description in RNAcentral is "partial 16S ribosomal RNA". It matches the Rfam family "Bacterial small subunit ribosomal RNA", at positions 524 to 796 of the family's 1533-position model. The record is from RNAcentral. Lineage: Bacteria; Pseudomonadati; Pseudomonadota; Alphaproteobacteria; Hyphomicrobiales; Nitrobacteraceae.